CAGUAGCCGCGGUAAUACGAAGGGGGCUAGCGUUGUUCGGAUUUACUGGGCGUAAAGCGCACGUAGGCGGAUCGAUCAGUCAGGGGUGAAAUCCCAGAGCUCAACUCUGGAACUGCCUUUGAUACUGUCGAUCUGGAGUAUGGAAGAGGUGAGUGGAAUUCCGAGUGUAGAGGUGAAAUUCGUAGAUAUUCGGAGGAACACCAGUGGCGAAGGCGGCUCACUGGUCCAUUACUGACGCUGAGGUGCGAAUGCAUGGGGAGCAAACAGGAUUAGAGACCCCCGUAGUCCCUGUCUCUUAUAC
RNAcentral lists this ribosomal RNA (301 nucleotides) under uncultured bacterium. RNAcentral's name for it is "partial 16S ribosomal RNA". It matches the Rfam family "Bacterial small subunit ribosomal RNA", at positions 509 to 807 of the family's 1533-position model. The record is from RNAcentral.